AAGUCGCAAUCAUAAAACUCAUUAAAUAUUGGUUUCGAAGUGAAUUAAUAAAAUGUCAAUUUCCAGUAUAUAUUCGUUGGUUAUAUUAGCACAUAUAUCACUAGUAAUAGGUGAAUCCAAUAUUAUGCCUCAAUAUGAAGAAGACUGUUUGAAGGACAAUCAUCUUUCAUCUCAAGAUUUGGCUGGUAUCGGAGGAAAUGACGAACUAGGUUUACCUGUUAAAUGUUAUUUCAAAUGUUUAAUGAAGAAAACGGGUCAGUUGGGUUCAGAUGGAACAGUAUAUUUUUUUCCAGCAUUCAUUCUGACUCAGAAACCGGAAACACAAACUUGUUUGAAUAAUAUUGGAAAGAUAAUGGAGUGUGAGGAUAUGGUCCAAAUUUUUGAAUGCUUUUACUAACCCAGCAACUGAACCUAUUGAAAACUUUUUAAUAAAUAUAUUACUUCUUG
Long non-coding RNA from Leptinotarsa decemlineata (Colorado potato beetle), 447 nucleotides. Lineage: Eukaryota; Metazoa; Arthropoda; Insecta; Coleoptera; Chrysomelidae. The record is from RefSeq and is a predicted model, not a curated record.